This is a long non-coding RNA of Syzygium oleosum, 214 nucleotides long. RefSeq lists it as uncharacterized. The record is from RefSeq and is a predicted model, not a curated record. Lineage: Eukaryota; Viridiplantae; Streptophyta; Magnoliopsida; Myrtales; Myrtaceae. The transcript is spliced from 2 exons.
UGUCUGUCUACGAUGGCUCUCGAUCCGUCUUGUCUCCGGCUCUCGAGGCUGGGGGCGGGGUCGGCCCUUUGCGCGCGCGCGCUCGUGCUGGGCGGCGUGCUCGUGCGCUCGUCUGUGUAAAUUCCCGCCCAGUGAGGGCAAUGAUUCCGUGGACGUGACACUGCUUCUGAAUGUUAUGAGGUUCUGGGUGAUCGUGCUUUGCAUUUGCGUGGAA